GAUCCUGGCUCAGAGCGAACGCUGGCGGCAGGCCUAACACAUGCAAGUCGAACGGACCCUUCGGGGUUAGUGGCGGACGGGUGAGUAACACGUGGGAACGUGCCUUUAGGUUCGGAAUAGCUCCUGGAAACGGGUGGUAAUGCCGAAUGUGCCCUUCGGGGAAGAUUUAUCGCCUUUAGAGCGGCCCGCGUCUGAUUAGCUAGUUGGUGGGGUAAUGGCCCACCAAGGCUACGAUCAGUAGCUGGUCUGAGAGGAUGACCAGCCACAUUGGGACUGAGACACGGCCCAAACUCCUACGGGAGGCAGCAGUGGGGAAUCUUGCGCAAUGGGCGAAAGCCUGACGCAGCCAUGCCGCGUGUAUGAUGAAGGUCUUAGGAUUGUAAAAUACUUUCACCGGUGAAGAUAAUGACUGUAGCCGGAGAAGAAGCCCCGGCCUAACUUCGUGCCAGCAGCCG
RNAcentral lists this ribosomal RNA (455 nucleotides) under uncultured bacterium. RNAcentral describes it as "bacterial SSU rRNA". It matches the Rfam family "Bacterial small subunit ribosomal RNA", at positions 15 to 517 of the family's 1533-position model. The record is from RNAcentral.